Molecule: ribosomal RNA, 263 nt
Filed under: uncultured bacterium
Lineage: Bacteria
Description: partial 16S ribosomal RNA
Rfam family: Bacterial small subunit ribosomal RNA
Source: RNAcentral
UACGGGGGGGGGCAAGCGUUGUUCGGAAUUACUGGGCGUAAAGGGCUCGUAGGCGGCCAACUAAGUCGGACGUGAAAUCCCUCGGCUUAACCGGGGAACUGCGUCCGAUACUGGAUGCUUGAGUUUGGGAGAGGGAUGCGGAAUUCCAGGUGUAGCGGUGAAAUGCGUAGAUAUCUGGAGGAACACCGGUGGCGAAGGCGGCAUCCUGGACCAAUUACUGACGCCGAGUGAGCGAAAGCCAGGGGAGCAAACGGGGAUUAAGA